This 616-nucleotide ribosomal RNA is filed under the name Aerva javanica. RNAcentral's name for it is "eukaryotic LSU rRNA". Lineage: Eukaryota; Viridiplantae; Streptophyta; Magnoliopsida; Caryophyllales; Amaranthaceae. The record is from RNAcentral.
UCGAAACCUGCCAUGCAGAACGACCAGCGAACAUGUUUACAACAUGCAUGGGAUGGGGUUGCUGGCUUUCCAGUCCCACCCCAAUGCUGGGGGACACUCCUUAAGGGAUGCUUCCCAGCACAAUAACGAACCCCGGCGCGUUAAGCGUCAAGGAACAUAUAUUCGAGUGUGCAUGUCCUUGCCCGGAAUACGGUGCAUGGAUGUGGCACCCCAUUUAAGUCAUAAUACGACUCUCGGCAACGGAUAUCUUGGCUCUCGCAUCGAUGAAGAACGUAGCGAAAUGCGAUACUUGGUGUGAAUUGCAGAAUCCCGUGAACCAUCGAGUUUUUGAACGCAAGUUGCGCCCGAAGCCUUCUGGCCAGGGCACGUCUGCCUGGGCGUCACGCAUAGCGUCUCCCCCWCCCCACCAAGUGUAGGGAGGGAGAGGAUGAUGGCCUCCCAUGCCUCAUGGGUCGUGGAUGGCCUAAAUAAGGAGCCAUAGGACACGAGAUGUGUUGGCGAUUGGUGGUACACAAGGCAUUUGCCUAGACAGCAUCGCGCUAAGCAUCACGUGUCAUAUGCAGGCUCGAAGGACCCUUACAAACCUUUGCGACCCCAGGUCAGGCGGGGUUACCCG